GCGAGAAAACUUUGCAAUGUGCGAAAGCACGACAAGGUUAAUCCGAGUGGUUUCUGCUAAAGAAACCUUUUGUCAGUCCUAGAAGCACUAACGAAUAAGGGGUGGGCAAGUUCUGGUGUCAGCCGCCGCGGUAAAACCAGCACCUCAAGUGGUCAGGAUGAUUAUUGGGCCUAAAGCAUCCGUAGCUCGUUUUGUAAGUUUUCGGUUAAAUCCAUGCGCUUAACGUAUGGGCUGCCGGGAAUACUGCAUAACUAGGAAGUGGGAGAGGUAGACGGUACUCGGUAGGAAGGGGUAAAAUCCUUUGAUCUAUUGAUGACCACCUGUGGCGAAGGCGGUCUACCAGAACACGUUCGACGGUGAGGGAUGAAAGCUGGGGGAGCAAACCGGAUUAGAUACCCAUGUAGUCCCUGAGCGGGCUGGCAAGGCGCAU
Molecule: ribosomal RNA, 430 nt
Filed under: uncultured bacterium
Lineage: Bacteria
Description: bacterial SSU rRNA
Rfam family: Archaeal small subunit ribosomal RNA
Source: RNAcentral